GCCUAAAAUCAAGCCUAUAAACUCAACUUAUGAAUUAUAUACUUUAUCAACUUAAUAAUAAAACAUUUUAACAUUUUAGUAAAGGCGAUCAAAAAACUUAUAAGCGCUUCAUUUAUUGUACCGCAAGGAACGAUGAAAUAGAUUUGAAAUAGCCUUAAAGCAUUAAAUAGUAGAGAUAAGACCUCGUACCUUUUGCAUCAUGGUUUAGCUAGUCCCCACAAGCAAAGCGAAACAUUAGUUUGAUANNNNNNNNNNNNNNNNNNNNNNNNNNNNNNNNNNNNNNNNNNNNNNNNNNNNNNGUUGCAAAAGAGUGGGAUGAUUUUCAAGUAGCGGUGAAAAGCCUACCGAGCUUAGAGAUAGCUGGUUAUUCAGGAAAAGAAUUUUAGUUCUACCUUAAGUUUCUAUAUUAUUUUAACCUAUUAAACUUAAGAGCUAUUCAAAUAAGGCACAGCUUAUUUGAAACAGGAAACAACCUUAAUAAAGGUAAAAUAUACCUCUCUUAAUCAAGUUGGCCUAAGAGCAGCCACCUUUAAAAAAAGCGUUAAAGCUUUAUUUAUUUAUUCUCACACUAAUACCUAAACAUAUUUAAACCCUCCAUCUGUACUGAAUUAUUCCAUAAAUUAUGGAAGCCACUAUGCUAAAACUAGUAACAAGAAAUUGACUUUCUCCAAAAUAUAUGUAUAAACCAAAAUGGACUCCCCAUUGGUAAUUACCGUAAAUGAAUCUAAUUUAACAACUUAACAAGAAAACCUUAAAUAUUUCUCAACGUUAACCUAACACAAGAGUAUUGAUGGAAAGAUUAAAAGAGGAAGAAGGAACUCGGCAAAUCUUAACCCCGCCUGUUUACCAAAAACAUCGCCUCUUGAUAAACAUAAGAGGUCUAGCCUGCCCAGUGAUAUAAUUAAACGGCCGCGGUACCCUGACCGUGCGAAGGUAGCAUAAUCACUUGUUCUUUAAAUAGGGACUAGUAUCAACGGCAUCACGAGGGUUAUACUGUCUCCUUCCUCGAAUCAGUGAAACUAAUCUCCCCGUGAAGAAGCGGGGAUAAAAAUAUAAGACGAGAAGACCCCAUGGAGCUUUAAACCCAACAACAACCUCUACUCACAACCCCUUGACAAUUAGAAGGCCCUGUCUGUUGGUUUUAGGUUGGGGUGACCGCGGAGUAUAAUUUAACCUCCACGACGAACGGGAUUAACCCCUAAUCCAAGAGCCACUGCUCUAAGAAUCAAUAAAUUGACGUAAAAUGAUCCGAUAAUCGAUCAACGAACCAAGUUACCCUGGGGAUAACAGCGCAAUCCAUUUCAAGAGCCCCUAUCGACAAAUGGGUUUACGACCUCGAUGUUGGAUCAGGGUAUCCCAGUGGUGCAGCCGCUACUAAAGGUUUGUUUGUUCAACAAUUAAAACCCUA
RNAcentral lists this ribosomal RNA (1408 nucleotides) under Quasipaa spinosa (Chinese spiny frog). RNAcentral's name for it is "partial 16S ribosomal RNA". It matches the Rfam family "Bacterial large subunit ribosomal RNA", at positions 378 to 2598 of the family's 2925-position model. The record is from RNAcentral. Lineage: Eukaryota; Metazoa; Chordata; Amphibia; Anura; Dicroglossidae.